RNAcentral lists this ribosomal RNA (342 nucleotides) under uncultured bacterium. Its description in RNAcentral is "bacterial SSU rRNA". It matches the Rfam family "Bacterial small subunit ribosomal RNA", at positions 1 to 334 of the family's 1533-position model. The record is from RNAcentral.
CAUACGCGUUCAGAGUUUGAUCCUGGCUCAGGACGAACGCUGGCGGCGCGCCUAACACAUGCAAGUCGAACGGAGAAAGAAACAGCUUGCUGGAUCUUUCUUAGUGGCGGACGGGUGAGUAACACGUGAGCAACCUGCCCUUCAGAGAGGAAUAACGCUUGGAAACGAACGCUAAUACCUCAUAACACCUUAGAGAGGCAUCUCUCUGAGGUCAAAGAUUUAUCGCUGAAGGAUGGGCUCGCGUCCGAUUAGGUAGUUGGUGAGAUAACAGCCCACCAAGCCGACGAUCGGUAGCCGGACUGAGAGGUUGAACGGCCACAUUGGGACUGAGACACGGCCCAG